UCCCAACUGCAGACCGUACUCAUCACCGCAUCAGGUCCCCAAGCAUCGA
Molecule: ribosomal RNA, 49 nt
Filed under: Trypanosoma brucei
Lineage: Eukaryota; Euglenozoa; Kinetoplastea; Trypanosomatida; Trypanosomatidae
Description: partial ribosomal RNA
Source: RNAcentral